GUCUAUGGCCAUGCUACCCUGAACAAGCCCUAUUCCUUCUGAUCUUAGAAGCUAAGCAGGGUUGGGCUUGGUUAGUACUUAAAUGGGAGACCACUUAGGAAGUCCAGGUGCUGUAGGUG
Molecule: non-coding RNA, 119 nt
Organism: Pteropus alecto (black flying fox)
Lineage: Eukaryota; Metazoa; Chordata; Mammalia; Chiroptera; Pteropodidae
Source: Rfam